RNAcentral lists this ribosomal RNA (500 nucleotides) under uncultured bacterium. RNAcentral describes it as "partial 16S ribosomal RNA". It matches the Rfam family "Bacterial small subunit ribosomal RNA", at positions 28 to 523 of the family's 1533-position model. The record is from RNAcentral.
GACGAACGCUGGCGGCGUGCCUAAUACAUGCAAGUCGAGCGAGACUCUUCGGAGUCUAGCGGCGGACGGGUGAGUAACACGUGGGCAACCUGCCUGUAAGACUGGGAUAACACCGGGAAACCGGUGCUAAUACCGGAUAAUCCUUUUCCUCUCAUGAGGAAAAGCUGAAAGUCGGUUUCGGCUGACACUUACAGAUGGGCCCGCGGCGCAUUAGCUAGUUGGGGAGGUAACGGCUCACCAAGGCGACGAUGCGUAGCCGACCUGAGGGGGUGAUCGGCCAAGCUGGGACUGAGACACGGCCCAGACUCCUACGGGGGGCAGCAGUAGGGAAUCUUCCACAAUGGACGAAAGUCUGGUGGCGCAACGCCGCGUGAGCGAUGAAGGCCUUCGGGUCGUAAAGCUCUGUUGUUAGGGAAGAACAAGUACCGGAGUAACUGCCGGUACCUUGACGGUACCUAACCAGAAAGCCACGGCUAACUACGUGCCAGCAGCCGCCGUAA